Molecule: ribosomal RNA, 481 nt
Filed under: uncultured bacterium
Lineage: Bacteria
Description: partial 16S ribosomal RNA
Rfam family: Bacterial small subunit ribosomal RNA
Source: RNAcentral
GACGAACGCUGGCGGCGUGCUUAACACAUGCAAGUCGAACGAUGAAGAAAAGAAUUGAAGCUUCGGCAGAAAUUCAUUUCGGAUUAGUGGCAGACGGGUGAGUAACGCGUGAGCAACCUACCUCUUACAAAGGGAUAGCCUCGGGAAACCGGGAUUAAUACCAUAUAACAUUGCGACGAAGCAUUUCGAUGCAAUCAAAGCUACGGCGGUAAGAGAUGGGCUCGCGUCCCAUUAACCAGAUGGUGAGGUAACGGCUCACCAUAGUAACGAUGGGUAACCGGCCUGAGAGGGUGAACGGUCACACUGGAACUGAGACACGGUCCAGACUCCUACGGGAGGCAGCAGUGGGGAAUAUUGCACAAUGGAGGGAACUCUGAUGCAGCGACGCCGCGUGAGUGAUGAAGGAAUUCGUUUCGUAAAACUCUGCUCUAUGGGAAGAAAAGGACUGUACCAUAGGAGAAAGCUCCGGCUAAAUACGUGC